Molecule: long non-coding RNA, 1128 nt
Filed under: Marmota monax (woodchuck)
Lineage: Eukaryota; Metazoa; Chordata; Mammalia; Rodentia; Sciuridae
Source: RNAcentral
UGGUACCAGGGAUUGAACCCAGGGGUGCUUACCCACUGAGGCUGGCUUUGAACUGUAGAUCCUCCUGCCUCAGCCUUUCAAGCCUCUGGGAUUACAGGUGCAUGUAACUGGCUUGAUUUUGUUUUGAGGCUGGGUCUCCUCAGUUGCUCAGGCUGGCCUCAAACUUGGGAUCGAUUUUGGAAUUGAUUGAAUUUGUUAUCCUUUUGUCUCAGUGUCUGGAAUAGCUGGGAUUAUAAGCAUGUACCAUCGCACUUGGCUCAACUUUUACAUUUUGAUGAAAGCUGCUUUGACCUUUUCCACAGAAAAUUGUCCAUACACAGAAAAUCUGGUUUGGAUUUUUCAGGGCAUUCUUGGGUCCCUGUUAAAGGUUUAACUCUUUAGAUUGAAACUGGUCAUCCUUCAGAUUAUCAAGACAAAUGAGUUUGAAUUCAGGUGCCCAAAUAGUUUUUACUUAAACAGAACAAUUUUAAGUCUAUUAUGAACACAAAGCUUUUUUCUUUAUAUGAAAAGACUUCAGAGUGUAAUAUCUCUCAGGGCUGUAGACAUUUCUGGGGAGUCUAGUUGCUGUUUGGGGGCAGGCAGCCAGAUUGAUGAAGAAAAUUAGGCUGGGUAAGGUGGUGCACACCUGUAAUCCCAGAGGCUCAGGAGGCUGAGACAGGAGGAUUCUGAGUUCAAAGCCAGCCUCAGCAAUUUAGCGAGGUCCUAAGCAACUCAGUGAGAUCCUGUCUGUAAAUAAAAUACAAAAUAGGGCUGGGGAUGUGGCUCCGUAGUUGAGAGCCCCUGAGUUCAAUCCCUGGUAGCCCUCUCCCCAAGAAAAAAAAUCAGUGCGUUCUUUGAAGGAACUAAAUUUGUAAAAGACCUGUGUCAACCAGAAAAUGGCUGUGUCUUCAGCUGUUUUGUGAUAGAUAUAUGAUAUUAUUAUUUUGUACUGGCAAUAGAACCCAUGGGUACUUUACCACAGACUAUAUAUUUCAAUCCUUUUUAUUUUGAAACAGGGUCUUGCUAAGUUGCUUAGAGUCUCACUAAGUUGCUGAGGCUGGCCUCAAACUUACCAUCCUGCUGCCUCAACCUCCUCAGUUCCUGGGAUUAUAACAAGUACGUGCUAACUCUGUUGUGCAUCUAGUCUGG